RNAcentral lists this ribosomal RNA (277 nucleotides) under Spodoptera frugiperda (fall armyworm). RNAcentral describes it as "partial small subunit ribosomal RNA". The record is from RNAcentral. Lineage: Eukaryota; Metazoa; Arthropoda; Insecta; Lepidoptera; Noctuidae.
CCCUAUUAUUGAAAAAGUAAAUAAAAAAUACUAAAAUAUUAUAUAAUUAUUUAUUGAAACUUAAAUAAUUUGGCGGUAUUUUAGUUCAUUUAGAGGAAUCUGUUUAAUAAUUGAUAAUCCACGAAUAAAUUUACUUAAUUUAAAAUUUUGUAUAUCGUUGUUAUAUAAAUAUUUUUAAAUAAUUAAUAAUAUUUAAAAAUUUAAUUAAAAAAUUAAAUUAGAUCAAGAUGCAGAUUAUAAUUAAGUAUAUAAUGGAUUACAAUAAAAAUAUUUAAGA